AUAUUCAAAAGGCAAUAACGUGGAAAUACGUUUACGCAAAGUCUCAGAGCUAACGAAGAAAUUCUAUGCUGGCUGGUCCGCAAUA
RNAcentral lists this non-coding RNA (85 nucleotides) under Mollicutes bacterium. RNAcentral describes it as "c-di-GMP sequence". It matches the Rfam family "c-di-GMP-I riboswitch aptamer". Rfam says of the family: GEMM was predicted in a large-scale screen for bacterial structured RNA regulatory elements. Genes associated with GEMM are involved in a diverse array of functions, including chemotaxis regulation, signal transduction, secretion and chitin. RNAcentral also lists the same sequence under 1 other name. Lineage: Bacteria; Bacillati; Mycoplasmatota; Mollicutes. The record is from RNAcentral.